UGGAUUUGACAUCCCGGGAAUUCCGAGGAAACUUGGGAGUGCCUGAUUUAUCAGGAGCCUGGAGAC
RNAcentral lists this ribosomal RNA (66 nucleotides) under uncultured bacterium. Its description in RNAcentral is "partial 16S ribosomal RNA". The record is from RNAcentral.